Non-coding RNA from Peromyscus maniculatus bairdii (prairie deer mouse), 350 nucleotides. The record is from RefSeq and is a predicted model, not a curated record. NCBI's taxonomy places the organism in Eukaryota, Metazoa, Chordata, Mammalia, Rodentia, Cricetidae.
AGAGCAGCUGAGGAGAGUCAUGGAGAGCAGCUGAGGCCUGGCACUAUGUGGCAGGGUUGGAGUCCCUGAAGAGAAUCCAGGAGGGGCUAUUGAUGAACAUGCAUCCCAGUUGCAACAGAAGAUCCCAGCAUUUUGGAGAUGCCAGUACCAUGAGAUUCUGCCUCUCCUGGGUACCAUCUGCAGCAGAUGAGAGCGCCUGACAAUAUCCAACUUCAAGAGCGCUGCAGGCAUCAGCAAAGUCACCUCUGCUGUCUCUCUGAGGUCUAGAAGAAAGUGGGGGGCUGCCAGCAGGCCUGGAAACUGAAUGGACUGACUGGGAAAUCCCAUAUAAAUGGGAAGCCCUGACUGGA